AUGGGUGGAGGGAUGGCAGCAGACCUGACGCACGGGGCGGUGGCGGCGCUGGUGUCGGGGCUGGGGCAGGUGAUGGGCGCCGUGCUGCAGGUUGUGGGCGCGCCGGGGCCAGCGCCGGCGGGAACCGUGGCCGGCACGGGGCACAUGGACGUCACCAUGGACGGCCUCGUCACCGCCGGCCUCCUCCGCGCCGGCUCCGUUGUCCGAGUCCUCGACUACCGCUACAGCUAUGCCACGAACCGAAGGUACUGA
Molecule: ribosomal RNA, 252 nt
Filed under: Triticum aestivum (bread wheat)
Lineage: Eukaryota; Viridiplantae; Streptophyta; Magnoliopsida; Poales; Poaceae
Description: partial small subunit ribosomal RNA
Source: RNAcentral